ACGGAAGGCAGCAGUGGGGAAUAUUGCACAAUGGGCGCGAGCCUGAUGCAGCGAUGCCGCGUGAGGGAAGUAGGUUUUCGGAUUGUAAACCUCUGUCAACAGGGACGAUAAUGACUGUACCUGUGAAGGAAGCUCCGGCUAACUACGUGCCAGCAGCCGCGGUAAUACGUAGGGAGCAAGCGUUAUCCGGAAUUACUGGGUGUAAAGGGAGUGUAGGCGGGACUGUAAGUCAGAUGUGAAAUAUGCCGGCUCAACUGGCAGACUGCAUUUGAAACUGCGGUGCCUGAGUGAAGUAGAGGUAAGCGGAAUUCCUAGUGUAGCGGUGAAAUGCGUAGAUAUUAGGAGGAACAUCAGUGGCGAAGGCGGCUUACUGGGCUUUAACUGACGCUGAGGCUCGAAAGCGUGGGGAGCAAACAGGAUUAGAUACCCUGGUA
This 434-nucleotide ribosomal RNA is filed under the name uncultured Ruminococcus sp. Its description in RNAcentral is "partial 16S ribosomal RNA". It matches the Rfam family "Bacterial small subunit ribosomal RNA", at positions 341 to 792 of the family's 1533-position model. The record is from RNAcentral. Lineage: Bacteria; Bacillati; Bacillota; Clostridia; Eubacteriales; Oscillospiraceae.